UAUCAAAAACAUGUCUUUUUGAGAUUUAUUUAAAGUUUAAUCUGCCCAUUGAUUUUUUAAAAGGCUGCAGUAUUUUGACUGUACAAAGGUAGCAUAAUCAAUAGUUUUUUAAUUGAAAACUUGUAUGAAUGAUUGAAUGAAGUGUAUACUGUUUCAUAAAAAUUAAAUUAAAAUUUAAAUUUUUAGUUAAAAAGCUAAAAUAAAAUUAAAGGACGAUAAGACCCUAUAAAGUUUUAUAAUUUUAAUAUAAUAAUAUAUUUAAUUUAAUUGAUAUUUUUAUAAUUAAAAUUAUUUUGUUGGGGAGAUAAUAAAAUUUAUGAAACUUUUAUUUUUUAAAACAUUGAUUAAUGAUUUUAUGAUCCUAUAUUAUAGAUUAAAAAUUUAAAUUACUUUAGGGAUAACAGCGUUAUUUUUUUUUUAAGUUCUUAUUUAUAAGAAAGAUUGCGACCUCGAUGUUGGAUUAAAAUUAAUUUUAGGUGCAGUAGUUUAAAGUAUUAAGUCUGUUCGACUUUUAAAUUUUUACGUGAUCUGAGUC
RNAcentral lists this ribosomal RNA (535 nucleotides) under Orfelia fasciata. Its description in RNAcentral is "partial 16S ribosomal RNA". The stretch from base 397 to 535 matches the Rfam family "Archaeal large subunit ribosomal RNA", at positions 2542 to 2680 of the family's 2987-position model. The record is from RNAcentral. Lineage: Eukaryota; Metazoa; Arthropoda; Insecta; Diptera; Keroplatidae.